RNAcentral lists this ribosomal RNA (253 nucleotides) under uncultured bacterium. RNAcentral describes it as "partial 16S ribosomal RNA". It matches the Rfam family "Bacterial small subunit ribosomal RNA", at positions 524 to 776 of the family's 1533-position model. The record is from RNAcentral.
UACGUAGGGGGCAAGCGUUGUCCGGAUUUAUUGGGCGUAAAGAGCGUGUAGGCGGUUUGGUAGGUCCGUUGUGAAAACUCGAGGCUCAACCUCGAGACGCCGAUGGAAACCAUCAGACUAGAGUCCGGAAGAGGAGAGUGGAAUUCCUGGUGUAGCGGUGAAAUGCGCAGAUAUCAGGAGGAACACCUGUGGCGAAAGCGGCGCACUGGACCACAACUGACGCUGAGGCGCGAAAGCUAGGGGAGCAAACAGG